RNAcentral lists this ribosomal RNA (207 nucleotides) under uncultured bacterium. Its description in RNAcentral is "partial 16S ribosomal RNA". It matches the Rfam family "Bacterial small subunit ribosomal RNA", at positions 568 to 774 of the family's 1533-position model. The record is from RNAcentral.
UGCGCAGGCGGCCUGCUAAGUCGGAUGUGAAAGCCCCGGGCUUAACCUGGGAAUUGCAUUCGAUACUGGCAGGCUAGAGUCUGGUAGAGGUAAGCGGAAUUCCGGGUGUAGCGGUGAAAUGCGUAGAUAUCCGGAGGAACAUCAGUGGCGAAGGCGGUUUACUGGACCAAGACUGACGCUCAGGCACGAAAGCGUGGGUAGCAAACA